This is a long non-coding RNA of Onychomys torridus (southern grasshopper mouse), 497 nucleotides long. RefSeq lists it as uncharacterized. The record is from RefSeq and is a predicted model, not a curated record. NCBI's taxonomy places the organism in Eukaryota, Metazoa, Chordata, Mammalia, Rodentia, Cricetidae. The transcript has 3 exons.
CCAGUUUGGGGAUGGUAGACAGCGGACCUUCCUCCUCCUGUGGCUUCCAAGAGCCUCCAAGCUAGGGUCUCCAGACCAGAGACCUCCAGGGCUGGUCCCUAGGACACACACCCGCAGGGCAGCAUGUGGCUUCAUUCAGGUUGGGUGGCCUGAUUCUGGAAGACAGGACAAGAGUCACCUCCCCUCCUUGAUGAGUAGCUCAUCUUCCUCAUCUUUGCUCCUCUGUGAAAUGUGGAAUGACCCCAGGCUCGGAGGACUGCAUGAGGAUAGUGGGCGUAUAUAAAGUCUGAGGUUCUGCCGGGAGGGUCGGAGAGACGACAAGAAUUGUUACCUGAGAGGAAGCAGUGCCGAUGCUGAGUCACCAUGUCCUGACAGGUUUAUUGAGAAACAAUUCAGAUAGCCUGCGAUGGACCAGUUUGAUGAUGAUUCAAAGGUUACAAAGUUGUAUAAUCAGGGCUGGAGAGAUGGCUCAGCGUUUAAGAGCACUGGCUGCUCUU